AUGUAUAGGUUCUGCCCUGUGCCAUCAUUUCUAGCAGGCUUUGUUGUUCCUACCAGAGUACUGGGAUACUGGAAGUGUGCAGGGUGGGUAUUUCACUUGCUUGGUUUGAUAUGUUUUCAUGAUAGUGUAUUGGUUUACAUAUACAGGGAACUUCUGUGCUGCUCUACUUUGCUAACCUUUCUGAUUGCUCUGCACUCAGUUCUUCUCAAAUCACUCUUGUGCUGCCUGGCUGCUACCUUGGAUGACUCCGUGAUGGACAGUUGUGUUGGCUUCCACUUCAUUUCCACUACUUCUUCUGUUCUGUGUGACUGCAAAAAUGUUUCCUCUGCUUCCAGGUAUCUUCCAGAAAAGUCCAAGAAAACUGCUGGCACUGACUGAAGAUGAAAAUAUGAUUUGUGCUGACAUCAUGUAUAGUCCAAGCAAAUCUGUUUUGUGAAAGAUGGUUUUUUUAUGGUGUUGAAAUAAAGAAUCAGUGAGUCAUUCUUGAAGGAAUAUUGGCUCAGACUUUUCUUGCCUCUGUUACCACUGCCCCACCCCUGCUUUUCCUCUUCUGCUUUGUCUUUGGGGACCUUCAUAUUGAUGCUAGCUACAAAUGGUUGUUAAACAAAUUUUCUUCUGUCCUUAAGCAUAACUGCUUCGUGUGGGUUGAUGUAAUGCAAGAAUAGUCUCUGCUGUGAGGCUAGGAGCCAUACCCAGCUAUAGCAGUGUUGAUACUGAUUUUCUGGCUCCCACAACAUUUCAUUGCAAAUUCUGUUAAGAGGUAGUAAGUUUUCUUUGCUGAGAAACUGUAGCAGCAGCAUCUGCUAAGUUGGGUUGGGUCUACUUAAAAGUUGGGUUGUUUUCAAACAGUAUUCCAUUUGUGGGCAUCUGACUUAAACUGAACUUCGACUAUAAAACACUGUGGAUGUGACCAGUCACAGUACUUGCUGAGAUGAUGUUACCUGCAGCAGCAGAGAAGAAAGCAGAUGAAUAAAAUACAGACGAUAUUCCAAUGUUGGAUUGGUUAAAAAGAAACUUAACUGGAUAAAUUAGGUAGAUUACACUAGUUUUACAGAUAAUUCGAGGCAGGAAGGCUGAAAAGGAGGUGAGGUUAGUUAUGUGAGUGGCUGGAAAGAUGUGAUGACUUAGUGUAAGUCUUAGACUGUCACUUCAGCAAAAUUCUCAGUCCAAAAUCCAUUGUCUUGGCUGAGAUACUGGGGGAGCUGGGACACUGAACAUCUGUUGGCUGCUGGGGAUACAAAUGAUUUCAGAGAGAGGGAUGUAAACCUUAUAAAAACCUUUUCCUUUGAAGUUAGGUAAAAUAUGGACUUUUAUGACUGUUUAAUUAAAUUUUUUCAAUUUGUUGUAUCUCUUAACUCCAUGGAAAUACAAAAUACACAACCAAUUGUGAUGAUGUCUAAAUUGGCACUUAAUAAAUGCUGCUUGAUCCUUCCAUAGUGGAUAAUAGUUAUCCAACUGUACUCUGCCUAGUGUCUGAGGACCCAGUGCAUCCUUUUUUUACUCAAAGAAAAGUAGCAUAAAAAUAGCUGUUUAUGUAGCACAUCUGUUCUAAAACCCCCUCAAACCAAUGGUACAACCAUUGUGUCAACAGUACAAGGCUGACUGAUGACUUCCAAAUGACCAAUCCUUUGUUUUUUGAUUUUUUGUUUCCCUGUUAUGUAGAUUGGACCUUUAAUAUAAAGUAAGUAUUUAAACAUUUUUUUUCUUUUACACCCUUCUGAAUAUACCAUGUGUGCGUUUUCCUUUCCAGCUAAUGCUGUUGUGUGGAGGAGGGGCAAGGUUUGCAGUGGCACACAGCCUUUUCAGAAAAUAGUUUGAAACUUGGGAGUUCUGUGAAGUGUUUUGCCACUGCAAAAAUGUAAGAAGGAAGGUGCAGAUGUCCCCACAAAACAAAAUCUGGAGCCUUACUGGUAUGUGGAAGUGUUGCCCCGAGCAAGGCAGGGGCUUCUGGCUCAUGGUGAAUUCUGAGCUUGUUCAGUGCAGUGCAUUGAAUCUCUUGCCCUACCUUUGCCAUGAGUCAGUGCUUUUCAGGGAAUUCAGAGUUAAUGUAUCUUAUUUCUAUACAAAGCAAGUGCUGUCCUGUGAUUUGGAG
This is a long non-coding RNA of Ficedula albicollis (Collared flycatcher), 2092 nucleotides long. NCBI's taxonomy places the organism in Eukaryota, Metazoa, Chordata, Aves, Passeriformes, Muscicapidae. The record is from Ensembl.